Molecule: ribosomal RNA, 387 nt
Filed under: uncultured bacterium
Lineage: Bacteria
Description: bacterial SSU rRNA
Rfam family: Bacterial small subunit ribosomal RNA
Source: RNAcentral
AUUGAACGCUGGCGGCAUGCCUUACACAUGCAAGUCGAACGGUAACGCGGGGCAACCUGGCGACGAGUGGCGAACGGGUGAGUAACACAUCGGAACGUGCCCAGUAGUGGGGGAUAGCCCGGCGAAAGCCGGAUUAAUACCGCAUACGACCUAAGGGUGAAAGCAGGGGAUCGCAAGACCUUGCGCUAUUGGAGCGGCCGAUGUCAGAUUAGGUAGUUGGUGGGGGUAAAAAGCCUACCAAGCCGACGAUCUGUAGCUGGUCUGAGAGGACGACCAGCCACACUGGGACUGAGACACGGCCCAGACUCCUACGGGAGGCAGCAGUGGGGAAUUUUGGACAAUGGGCGCAAGCCUGAUCCAGCCAUGCCGCGUGCGGGAAGAAGGCCU